AGUAACCCGGUAGCUUUAGUAAGAGUUAUUGUCUAGUGUUAACUUGUGUAUACUUCCGCUGCGUGUACCAACCUACUCUGGUGAAAUAAGCGGUGUUGAGAGGCGUGUGUGGCACAAAGCGAGUCGGGAUCACAUGGGGACUAACGAAAGCCUCCAACCGCCGCCUCCUUUACUUCCACCACCGCCACUGCCACCGCCGCCGCCACCACCAGCACCACCACCACCACCACUACCGCCGCCGUCACCGCCACGUGAGGAAAGGGCACUGUGGGCGGCCUGCCUCUCCUCAUCAGUACUGUGGUGGUUCUCCUAAUGGGCCGCCUUUCCCUACUGGCUGAUGGAGGCUUUUACUGCAGAUAUAGUACGUUUUGUUCCUCUGCUGUGGGUAGGAGAGACAUACUGACGGAGAAAUGGACUGACGGCCGGACGGAUAGAAAUAGAAAAGAAGGGAAGAAAGGGAAAGGUAAAGGGAAGGAAAGAAAAGGCAAUGAAAGAAAAGGAAAGGGAAGGAAAAGAAAAGAGAAGGAAUGGAAAAGAGAAGAGAGGAAAAGGAUGAAAAUGUAAGGGAAGGGAUGGAAAGUAAAAAGAAGAGAGAAUGGAGAGGAAAGGAAAGGAAAGGAGAGGAGAGGAAAAAACGAAGCGAAGAGAAUGAAAGGGAAGGAAAACAAAGGAGAAGGAAUUGUAAGGGAAGGAAAGGAAGGGGGAGAGAAGGCAAGGGAAGAGAGUAUUAACGUGUUUUAUAGAUUCCCCUUAAUUAGCCAAGGCAGUAAGGCAGCGCAGAAUGAGUGUCUGUGCAAGGAACGUCUCCAUCUCCAGUCAGCGUUACGUUCAGCAGUAUUCCCGCCACCACUCAGGAAAUCACCUUUGCUUAGCUUUUGGAAUAUUAACUGGUGAAGCAAGUAAAUUCAAUCCAACGCCCAGCACGCGAGAGAAUUUAAUUUUGAGCGACUUGCAGCAAAUUUUGUAAUGUGUGUGUAUAUUUUUUUUGUUUUAUUUACCUUGUUUUUUUUAACGAUAACAAAAAAAAAAACAUCUUGGUCAUAUUGAAUUAACGUAAGGUAGCCAAACCCAAGCUAGCCCAACUCAAUAACUCAACUCAAUAACUCAAUCCAACCUAAUCUAAACUAAUGUAACCAACCUAGCUUAACGUAACUUAAUUUAAUGGAUCCCAGUCCACCCUAACCUAACCUAACGUAACAUAACCUACCUAACUGACCAGAUCAUACAUAACUUUACCUGAACCUAAGCUGCACUCUCUCUCUCUCUCUCUCUCUCUCUCUCUCUCUCUCUCUCUCUCUCUCUCUCUCUCUCUCUCUCUCUCUCUCUCUCUCUCUCUCUCUCUCUCUCUCUCUCUCUCUCUCUCUCUCUCUCUCUCUCUCUCUCUCUCUCUCUCUCUCUCUCUCUCUCUCUCUCUCUCUCUCUCUCUCUCUCUCUCUCUCUCUCUCUCUCUCUCUCUCUCUCUCUCUCUCUCUCUCUCUCGUUCUAGCUCGAUCACUGCUAUCCAUUCCAAACUUCUCCCUUCUAUCCUUCCCUUUUUCCCAUCCUUCUUUCCUCCCUGUCUGGUACCUUCCCUCCCUCCAUCCCUCCUUCUCUAUAUCUCUCCCUCCUUUCCUGCCUCUCUCUUCCACUCAGCAUUUCCCUCACGACUUUUAACUAUGAUAAAUAACAAACUUCACGGCACCAGCAGCAAAAAGCAUGAAGCUCAAAAGUACAGGACAAAAAUAAAAGGCAGGAGUGCAUCGAGUGUGAGUUGCGGGUCCAAAAACACACGUGUGACAGGAUGCCUCUGUUUCCGGGACGUGGCGGCGGCAGCGGGGCGUGGUGUGUGUGUGUGUGUGUGUGUGUGUGUGUGUGUGUUGUGUGUGUGUGUGUGUGUGUGUGUGUGUGUGUGUGUGUGUGUGUGUGUGUGUGUGUGUGUGUGUUGUGUGUGUGUGUGUGUGUGUGUGUGUGUGUAUCGGGAAAAGGGCGUUUGGAUGGAGGAAGGGAAGGAUGAAAGAGAGGGGAAAGAGGAAAGACGAGUAGAGAGAAAUUGAUUGAUUGAUUUAAGGUACCAAACAACAGGCAGAGAGAGAGAGAGAGAGAGAGAGAGACAGAGAGAGAGAGAGAGAGAGAGAGAGAUUCCCAGCUGCACCACACCGCACUCUUCCAAAAAGACAAACUGGAAGGCCGCUGUAUAAUAAUUGUAAAAGCAAAUGUUCAUCGCUGGAAGGACAACUCAACCAGUCUUGUCCCGGCACCAGCAGCAAGGAUGUGGCAGGCGGGCAGAGCAGGCGAGCAAGCGGGGAAACAAGGAAGGAAGCAAGAUGUCACAGAAGACGACACCAUCCCACCGCUCACUGCGCCAGAUGGGACCACGGGCACGUAUGGCAAAGACAAGGCUGACCCGCUGACGACUCACUUCUCUUCGCUAAAUUGGGGUUGGGGGCGCACCGUACUAUGCACCGCACAUCUCAGGUCUGGACCAUGCGACCCUUCCACUCUGUAUUGCUGCACAAGAGAGGUAGCAGCUUCACCAGGCAAAUACUACGUAAUUAAUGUUUUCAGUCAGGGCAUGUAACGUCAGGUCUUAAUACUGAAUGACUGUAUUCUGAAGGACUGUCGUUUUAUCUCUACUACUUUGAACAGGCUGUAGUGAAGGUCAUAGGGGUAUUUUACAGGGAGAGGUUAUUAAGGAUUCUACAUUAUCGAUUAUAGAAUAUACCCAUAUAAACCCGA
Molecule: long non-coding RNA, 2715 nt
Organism: Scylla paramamosain (green mud crab)
Lineage: Eukaryota; Metazoa; Arthropoda; Malacostraca; Decapoda; Portunidae
Exons: 3
Source: RefSeq, a predicted model, not a curated record